AGGCUUAACACAUGCAAGUCGAGGGGCAGCACAGGUAGCAAUACCGGGUGGCGACCGGCGCACGGGUGAGUAACGCGUAUGCAACUUGCCUAUCAGAGGGGGAUAACCCGGCGAAAGUCGGACUAAUACCGCAUGAAGCAGGGGCCCCGCAUGGGGAUAUUUGCUAAAGAUUCAUCGCUGAUAGAUAGGCAUGCGUUCCAUUAGGCAGUUGGCGGGGUAACGGCCCACCAAACCGACGAUGGAUAGGGGUUCUGAGAGGAAGGUCCCCCACAUUGGUACUGAGACACGGACCAAACUCCUACGGGAGGCAGCAGUGAGGAAUAUUGGUCAAUGGCCGAGAGGCUGAACCAGCCAAGUCGCGUGAGGGAUGAAGGUUCUAUGGAUCGUAAACCUCUUUUAUAAGGGAAUAAAGUGCGGGACGUGUCCCGUUUUGUAUGUACCUUAUGAAUAAGGAUCGGCUAACUCCGUGCCAGCAGCCGCGGUAAUACGGAGGAUCCGAGCGUUAUCCGGAUUUAUUGGGUUUAAAGGGUGCGUAGGCGGCCUUUUAAGUCAGCGGUGAAAGUCUGUGGCUCAACCAUAGAAUUGCCGUUGAAACUGGGGGGCUUGAGUAUGUUUGAGGCAGGCGGAAUGCGUGGUGUAGCGGUGAAAUGCAUAGAUAUCACGCAGAACCCCGAUUGCGAAGGCAGCCUGCCAAGCCAUUACUGACGCUGAUGCACGAAAGCGUGGGGAUCAAACAGGAUUAGAUACCCUGGUAGUCCACGCAGUAAACGAUGAUCACUAGCUGUUUGCGAUACACUGUAAGCGGCACAGCGAAAGCGUUAAGUGAUCCACCUGGGGAGUACGCCGGCAACGGUGAAACUCAAAGGAAUUGACGGGGGCCCGCACAAGCGGAGGAACAUGUGGUUUAAUUCGAUGAUACGCGAGGAACCUUACCCGGGUUUGAACGCAUUCGGACCGAGGUGGAAACACCUUUUCUAGCAAUAGCCGUUUGCGAGGUGCUGCAUGGUUGUCGUCAGCUCGUGCCGUGAGGUGUCGGCUUAAGUGCCAUAACGAGCGCAACCCUUGCCACUAGUUACUAACAGGUUAGGCUGAGGACUCUGGUGGGACUGCCAGCGUAAGCUGCGAGGAAGGCGGGGAUGACGUCAAAUCAGCACGGCCCUUACAUCCGGGGCGACACACGUGUUACAAUGGCGUGGACAAAGGGAUGCCACCUGGCGACAGGGAGCGAAUCCCCAAACCACGUCUCAGUUCGGAUCGGAGUCUGCAACCCGACUCCGUGAAGCUGGAUUCGCUAGUAAUCGCGCAUCAGCCAUGGCGCGGUGAAUACGUUCCCGGGCCUUGUACACACCGCCCGUCAAGCCAUGGGAGCCGGGGGUACCUGAAGUCCGUAACCGAAAGGAUCGGCCUAGGGUAAAACUGGUGACUGGGGCUAAGUCG
RNAcentral lists this ribosomal RNA (1437 nucleotides) under uncultured organism. RNAcentral describes it as "SSU rRNA". It matches the Rfam family "Bacterial small subunit ribosomal RNA". The record is from RNAcentral.